AAUCAACGCUGGCGGCGUGCCUCAGACAUGCAAGUCGAACGCGAAAGUCCCCUUCGGGGGACAAGUAGAGUGGCGCACGGGUGAGUAACACGUAGGUAAUCUACCUUUGGAUGGGGAAUAACAACCGGAAACGGUUGCUAAUACCGCAUAAUGCAGCGGCACCUAAUGGUGACAGUUGUUAAAGCGGGGGGAUCGAAAGACCUCGCGUCUAAAGAGGAGCCUGCGGCGGAUUAGCUAGUUGGUAAGGAAUGGCUUACCAAGGCUACGAUCCGUAACCGGCCUGAGAGGGCGGUCGGGUCACACUGACACUGACAUACGGGUCAGACUCCUACGGGAGGCAGCAGUCGGGAAUUUUGGGCAAUGGGCGAAAGCCUGACCCAGCAACGCCGCGUGAAGGAUG
Molecule: ribosomal RNA, 400 nt
Filed under: uncultured bacterium
Lineage: Bacteria
Description: bacterial SSU rRNA
Rfam family: Bacterial small subunit ribosomal RNA
Source: RNAcentral